GAUGAACGCUGGCGGCGUGCCUAAUACAUGCAAGUCGAGCGAACAGACGAGGAGCUUGCUCCUCUGACGUUAGCGGCGGACGGGUGAGUAACACGUGUAUAACCUACCUAUAAGACUGGGAUAACUUCGGGACACCGGAUCUAAUACCGGAUAAUAUAUUGAACCGCAUGGUUCAAUAGUCAAAUACGGUUUUGCUGUCACUUAUAGAUGGAUCGGCGCCGCAUUAGCUAGUUGGUAAGGUAACGGCUUACCAAGGCGACGAUGCGUAGCCGACCUGAUAGGGUGAUAGGCGACACUGGAGCUGAGACACGGUCAAGACUACUGCGGGACGCAGCAGAAGGGAAUGUGACGCAAAGGUCGAAAGCCUGACGGAGCAAGGCCGAGUGAGUGAUGGAGGUCUCCGGAUCGUAAAACUCUGUUAUUAGGGAAGAACAAAUGUGUAAGGAAACAAGCACGUAUUGACGGUACUUAGUAAGAAAGCCACGGCUAACUACGUG
This 497-nucleotide ribosomal RNA is filed under the name uncultured bacterium. RNAcentral describes it as "partial 16S ribosomal RNA". It matches the Rfam family "Bacterial small subunit ribosomal RNA", at positions 28 to 507 of the family's 1533-position model. The record is from RNAcentral.